CCUACGGGCGGCAGCAGUGGGGAAUAUUGGGCAAUGGGCGCAAGCCUGACCCAGCAACGCCGCGUGAAGGAAGAAGGCUUUCGGGUUGUAAACUUCUUUUCUCAGGGACGAAGCAAGUGACGGUACCUGAGGAAUAAGCCACGGCUAACUACGUGCCAGCAGCCGCGGUAAUACGUAGGUGGCAAGCGUUAUCCGGAUUUAUUGGGUGUAAAGGGCGUGUAGGCGGGACUGCAAGUCAGAUGGGAAAACCACGGGCUCAACCUGUGGCCUGCAUUUGAAACUGUAGGUCCUGAGUACUGGGGAGGCGGACGGAAAUUCUGGUGUAGCGGUGAAAUGCGUAGAUAUUAGGAGGAACACCAGUGGCGAAGGCGGUCUGCUGGACAGCAACUGACGCUGAGGCGCGAAAGCGUGGGGAGCAAACAGGAUUAGAUACCCCUGUAGUC
RNAcentral lists this ribosomal RNA (443 nucleotides) under uncultured bacterium. Its description in RNAcentral is "partial 16S ribosomal RNA". It matches the Rfam family "Bacterial small subunit ribosomal RNA", at positions 338 to 795 of the family's 1533-position model. The record is from RNAcentral.